RNAcentral lists this ribosomal RNA (509 nucleotides) under uncultured bacterium. RNAcentral's name for it is "bacterial SSU rRNA". It matches the Rfam family "Bacterial small subunit ribosomal RNA", at positions 8 to 526 of the family's 1533-position model. The record is from RNAcentral.
AGAGUUUGAUCCUGGCUCAGGACGAACGCUGGCGGCGUGCUUAACACAUGCAAGUCGAACGGUGAUCUUGGGAGCUUGCUCCUGGGUGAUCAGUGGCGAACGGGUGAGUAACACGUGAGUAACCUGCCCCGGACUCUGGGAUAACUUCGGGAAACCGGAGCUAAUACCGGAUAUGACCCUCGCCUGCAUGGGCUGGGGGUGGAAAGUUUUUCGGUCUGGGAUGGGCUCGCGGCCUAUCAGCUUGUUGGUGAGGUAGUGGCUCACCAAGGCGACGACGGGUAGCCGGCCUGAGAGGGCGACCGGCCACACUGGGACUGAGACACGGCCCAGACUCCUACGGGAGGCAGCAGUGGGGAAUAUUGCACAAUGGGCGCAAGCCUGAUGCAGCGACGCCGCGUGAGGGAUGACGGCCUUCGGGUUGUAAACCUCUUUCAGCAGGGAAGAAGCGUGAGUGACGGUACCUGCAGAAGAAGCACCGGCUAACUACGUGCCAGCCGCCGCGGUAAUUC